RNAcentral lists this unclassified non-coding RNA (2557 nucleotides) under Metarhizium guizhouense. Lineage: Eukaryota; Fungi; Ascomycota; Sordariomycetes; Hypocreales; Clavicipitaceae. The record is from RNAcentral.
CCCCAAUAUCAGCGCAUCCUGCUUCGCGGGGCGGGUGUUGGGGUUAGAACCACCAAGUGGUGGUUACAGGCUUGAAGAAAGCCGCCGAGUGGUGUGGUGGUUUUGGAGGGAAAAUCUACCAAGUUCAAAAGUCAGGCGAGCGAAAGGUUCGCCGAGUCGGAAAGUCGGGCGAGUAAAAAAUUACCAAGUCCAAAAUAUUGCCGGCAGCAUACCCGGGACUCCAAGUAAGUCGGGGAAGAAAUUGGCGUAUUUUUUCCAACUUAUUUUUCCAACCAACUCAACUUGACCGAUUUACCCGCCCGAAUUGCCUGAGCUCCCGGGUAGGCUGCGGUUGAUUUUUGGACUUGGCAGGAAAGUAAAAAAUUUCACCAAGUCCGACAGUCAAUCGUAGCUUACCCGUGAGCCCAGGCAAGCAAAAAUCUCACCGAGUCCGAAAACUAACUACAGCUUACCCGUGAGCUCAGGCAAGUCAGGCAGGUAAAUUCCGCCAAGUCGGCAGGGAACUGAUUGUAAAUUAAUUCAAGCAAAUCCGCCAAGUCCACAAAUCAGUCGCAGCCUACCCGGUAGGCCUGUGUGUUUCCCGUGCGAUUUCCCGCAAAGACCAAAAAGUCGGGUGUUUUGGUACUUGACUUGUAUAGGCGUGAGUUGAUCUUUUUGUUUUCCCAUAUAAAUGAAUUUUGCGGAAAAUAAAAAGUAGUACACAAGCACCUAGCAGCGGAGGCGAACCCUUAAAAUAGUCGGCGGGUAUAUAAAAGAGAGGGCUGGACACGCGUCGCGUUGCGUAUUUCCGCCGCGCCCAACACUUUUAGCUUUAGGGUAGGCUACUUGUUUAGAGGCGCGCUGAAUUGGAUGGUCUCUUGAGUGAGGGGAUUUCUCUGCUGGCAGUUGCUUGUGAUCCGGGAGUCCGUGGUGGUGAAGUCAACUGUAAGGCUUGUGUGUGCGUGGGUGCGUGGGUGCGUGUGCCGGGGCCCUGUAAGUCCCGACCAGGAACCCUGCAGGUCACGUGCUGAUACGAUAAGAUAGAUAAGAUAUGCGGCACGUGUAUCAGCACGUGCCAAUACGAGUGACGAUAAGAUCGAUAAGAUACCUGGUAUAAUAAGUAAAAUACCUGCACGUGCCCAGUCACGGAGACUUGCACGUGUCCCGCUGCCAAGGUCCCCGAGGUCCCCGAGGUUGCCAACCUCGCCGACUACUCCUGGUGUAAUGUGCUGGUGCAGUUGUAUAUAAUUCCUUACUGGUCUUAAUAAUAGUACACUUGUUGAUCGCGAUGCGCUCACUUGUGGUGCGGUUGUGCGGCUGUGCUGACGCAAUUGUGGUGGUGCACUUACUCUACAAUAGUGCUGGUACUUGCGGUCACAUACAAUUUCCUAGUAUUUUGGCGUAGUUAUGGUCGUGGCGUGGUCGUGGCGGUGCAGUUACAGUAGUGCACUCACCUACACUUGUAGCACUGCUGGUACCGGCUACCGUCGCGUGCACGCGGCUGCUGUCGGCUGUGGUGGAGGGUUACCCGGGACCACGGUGCAUUUUCCCGUUUUUUCCAUUUUUUCAAAAUCGACGACCAAAAGGUUGGUAGGUCUGGGUUGCCUUGCUGGCCAAUAGAAAUUUGUAUGGCGCUACUAUAGGGUAGGUAUAGGGUAGGCUGUGCCGGUACUUGCGGUCGCACACAAAUCCCUAGCAACCCGAAGUACCCCCGCGGGCGGGCAACUUCAAACCGCUAUAGCUGCUUCCAGCGGCAUCGCACACAACUGUGAGGACCACCAUUCGAUUCGUCUCGCCGAGCUGCAUCGAUUGAGCCUGGGUUGCCAAAAAGUCGGGUGUUUUGGUAUUUGAUUUGUAUGGGCGUGAGUCGAUUUUUUUGUUUUCCCAUACAAAUGAAUUUUGCGGAAAAUAAAAAAUGGACCACGAGCGCCCGGUGGCGGAGGUGGACCCUCGAGGUGGUCGGUGGGUAUGUGAGAAGGGGGCGUCGAAAGAUGCCGGGACAGCUGGGUCUUCGCUGAAAGGCAGGAUUUCCGGUGAGUCACCGCCCUCUCUGUACCAUAUCUUGCCGAGCCCCAGUGCUUGAGUGGCCUCCUGAACACGCCUGUAGAAGCUCUUUUACAGGCUGGGAGGUCACACUGGGGAUUCAAACUCCACGAAGUCGGCGGCUACGGCCGUGCGGCGUACUGGUUAUACCUCGUGGCUGUGGGAGGCACCCGCCUCUUACCGCUCAGGAGAUGGGUUCUGUGGGCUGCUGGCCGCUGGCCAACAUGCCGUAAAUCAGAAUAACGGGAGGCAACCACGGGUAGCUGACGCCGAAAUGGCAGAGGCUGCCCGGAGCGUCCUCCUCUUAGGGCACCUAUACCGCACUUUACGGUGCGUGUGGACGGCUGCGCCUAGGGAAUUAGGAGGGGGAAAGCGGAUUUGCCGCUGGGCGGUCUCUCCCGGCCAAACGGGCAGGGCACCUCCCGGCGCGCAGCACCCUUUCGAGUGGGGGAAAGGUGUGCCGACCAGUAACUUGGACUAUUCUCUCCGGCGCCCGAGCUAGGGCGUCGGUAGGCCAACCCCGGCGAACGAUAGU